RNAcentral lists this ribosomal RNA (440 nucleotides) under uncultured bacterium. Its description in RNAcentral is "partial 16S ribosomal RNA". It matches the Rfam family "Bacterial small subunit ribosomal RNA", at positions 338 to 795 of the family's 1533-position model. The record is from RNAcentral.
CCUACGGGGGGCAGCAGUGGGGAAUAUUGCACAAUGGGGGAAACCCUGAUGCAGCGACGCCGCGUGAGUGAAGAAGUAUUUCGGUAUGUAAAGCUCUAUCAGCAGGGAAGAAAAUGACGGUACCUGAGUAAGAAGCCCCGGCUAACUACGUGCCAGCAUCCGCGGUAAUACGUAGGGGGCAAGCGGUAUCCGGAUUUACUGGGUUUAAAGGGAGCGUAGACGGCAGCGCAAGGCUGAAGGGAAAUGCCGGGGCUUAACCCCGGAACUGCUUUGGAAACUGGGCAGCUAGAGUGCAGGAGAGGUAAGUGGAAUGCGUGGUGUAGCGGUGAAAUGCGUAGAUAUUAGGAGGAACACCAGUGGCGAAGGCGGCUUGCUGGACUGUAACUGACGUUGAGGCUCGAAAGCGUGGGGAGCGAACAGGAUUAGAUACCCGGGUAGUC